This 639-nucleotide long non-coding RNA is filed under the name Setaria viridis. Its description in RNAcentral is "long non-coding RNA (SVIR_LNC004135)". The record is from RNAcentral. Lineage: Eukaryota; Viridiplantae; Streptophyta; Magnoliopsida; Poales; Poaceae.
CUGCUUCUACGGACCUUCUGACCUUCCAAUCUUGAUGUUAAUUUAGCAUAACCACAAGAUUGACUUGUCAAAUCACCACAUACUUCACCUCUAAGUCAUCUGGAAUGAUGGUUCGUCCAAUGUGGACACAUUUGGAGGCCGAAUUGGUCCAAGCUGAUCGGCCUGUGGGCCUUGGGCCAAUCAGCCCACCCUCUUUUGGUCUCCAUUGGUACUCGUCUUUCUCAUGUAGGCUCCUUGUGUUAUCCAAAGUCUAGGUCCAAAUCGAGCUUGUACAAAAGUCACCUGUUUAUGUCGUAUUUCCUGCCAUUUUGCAAUAUACUUCAAAAUACAACACAUAUGCGAAUGUGGGUUUAUUUCACAUGCCAAGUGGUGGGUUAGUAUAAGAAUUAAUCCAAAAACACCACUUAAAUACCAAAAAGGUGGCAAUAACAAGUGACAACAACCUUCCUUCCUCGAUUCAACUUCCUAUAUGCAUAAGAUCUCCUUGGUUUAUAAAUACCCCCUCCCUCGGCCAUAACUCGCAUCCAUCCAGCAAAACUCGAACAAAUAGAGGGACCAAUACCAUAUCGAGCUGAGGGCCACUGUAAGUCUUCAAAGUUGUCUAAUAUAUGGCUUAGGCCAAACCCUAUCUGUCGUCAC